ACCUUUUUUUACUUAUCUUGAAAAUAAGUCUUAGAGAAAUCUGAAAGGUU
Molecule: transfer RNA, 50 nt
Filed under: Hygrobates longiporus
Lineage: Eukaryota; Metazoa; Arthropoda; Arachnida; Trombidiformes; Hygrobatidae
Description: tRNA-Ser
Source: RNAcentral